Molecule: ribosomal RNA, 527 nt
Filed under: uncultured bacterium
Lineage: Bacteria
Description: bacterial SSU rRNA
Rfam family: Bacterial small subunit ribosomal RNA
Source: RNAcentral
UGGGGAAUCUUGGACAAUGGGGGCAACCCUGAUCCAGCCAUGCCGCGUGAGUGAUGAAGGCCUUAGGGUCGUAAAGCUCUUUCGCCUGUGAAGAUAAUGACGGUAGCAGGUAAAGAAACCCCGGCUAACUCCGUGCCAGCAGCCGCGGUAAUACGGAGGGGGUUAGCGUUGUUCGGAAUUACUGGGCGUAAAGCGCACGUAGGCGGACCAGAAAGUUGGGGGUGAAAUCCCGGGGGCUCAACCCCGGAACUGCCUCCAAAACUAUUGGUCUAGAGUUCGAGAGAGGUGAGUGGAAUUCCAAGUGUAGAGGUGAAAUUCGUAGAUAUUUGGAGGAACACCAGUGGCGAAGGCGGCUCACUGGCUCGAUACUGACGCUGAGGUGCGAAAGUGUGGGGAGCAAACAGGAUUAGAUACCCUGGUAGUCCACACCGUAAACGAUGAAUGCCAGUCGUCGGGUAGCAUGCUAUUCGGUGACACACCUAACGGAUUAAGCAUUCCGCCUGGGGAGUACGGUCGCAAGAUUAAAA